RNAcentral lists this ribosomal RNA (2138 nucleotides) under Aestuariibacter sp. GS-14. RNAcentral describes it as "partial 23S ribosomal RNA". It matches the Rfam family "Bacterial large subunit ribosomal RNA", at positions 1 to 2188 of the family's 2925-position model. Lineage: Bacteria; Pseudomonadati; Pseudomonadota; Gammaproteobacteria; Alteromonadales; Alteromonadaceae. The record is from RNAcentral.
GUUGUAUGGUUAAGUGACUAAGCGUAUACGGUGGAUGCCUUGGCAAAUAGAGGCGAUGAAGGACGUGUAAGUCUGCGAAAAGCUGUGGUGAGCUGACAAAACGCAUUUGAGCCACAGAUGUCCGAAUGGGGGAACCCACACAUUUAUGUGUAUCUGCAACUGAAUACAUAGGUUGUAGAGGCAAACGAGGGGAACUGAAACAUCUAAGUACCCUUAGGAAAAGAAAUCAACCGAGAUUCCCUUAGUAGCGGCGAGCGAAAGGGGAGCAGCCGAUAAGUAAAGUAUUAGUGGAAUCUUCUGGAAAGUUGAGCGAUACAGGGUGAUAGCCCCGUACAUGAAGGUACUUUAUUUACAUAUUAAGUAGGUCGGGACACGUGUUAUCUUGACUGAAGAUGGGGGGACCAUCCUCCAAGGCUAAAUACUCCUAUUUGACCGAUAGUGAACCAGUACCGUGAGGGAAAGGCGAAAAGAACCCCUGUGAGGGGAGUGAAAUAGAACCUGAAACCGUAUACGUACAAGCAGUGGGAGCCCUUCGGGGUGACUGCGUACCUUUUGUAUAAUGGGUCAGCGACUUAUAUUUAGUAGCAAGGUUAACCGUAUAGGGGAGCCGUAGCGAAAGCGAGUGUUAACUGCGCGUCUAGUUGCUAGGUAUAGACCCGAAACCCGGUGAUCUAGCCAUGGGCAGGUUGAAGGUUGAGUAACAUCAACUGGAGGACCGAACCCACUAACGUUGAAAAGUUAGGGGAUGACUUGUGGCUGGGGGUGAAAGGCCAAUCAAACCGGGAGAUAGCUGGUUCUCCCCGAAAUCUAUUUAGGUAGAGCCUCGGAUGAAUACCACAGGGGGUAGAGCACUGUUAAGGCUAGGGGGUCAUCCCGACUUACCAACCCUUUGCAAACUCCGAAUACCUGUGAGUACUAUCCGGGAGACACACGGCGGGUGCUAACGUCCGUCGUGAAGAGGGAAACAACCCAGACCGCCAGCUAAGGUCCCAAAAUAUUGCUAAGUGGGAAACGAUGUGGGAAGGCUAAGACAGCUAGGAGGUUGGCUUAGAAGCAGCCAUCCUUUAAAGAAAGCGUAAUAGCUCACUAGUCGAGUCGGCCUGCGCGGAAGAUGUAACGGGGCUAAGCAAUAUACCGAAGCUGCGGCAAAGUCCUUUGGACUUUGGGUAGGGGAGCGUUCUGUAAGCCGCUGAAGGUGAACUGUGAGGUUUGCUGGAGGUAUCAGAAGUGCGAAUGCUGACAUGAGUAACGAUAAUGGGGGUGAAAAACCCCCACGCCGGAAGACCAAGGUUUCCUGUCCCAUGCUAAUCAGGGCAGGGUAAGUCGGCCCCUAAGGCGAGGCAGAAAUGCGUAGUCGAUGGGAAACGGGUUAAUAUUCCCGUACUUAUAUAAUCAGUGAUGGAGGGACGGAGAAGGCUAGGCAAGCUUGGCGUUGGUAGUCCAAGUGAAAGUGCGUAGGUUGAGAGUUUAGGUAAAUCCGGACUCUUAAGACUGAGACACGAGACGAGCCACUAAGGUGGUGAAGUUGUUGAUGCCCUGCUUCCAGGAAAAGCUUCUAAACUUAUGAUUAUAUGAACCGUACCCCAAACCGACACAGGUGGUCAGGUAGAGAAUACUAAGGCGCUUGAGAGAACUCGGGUGAAGGAACUCGGCAAAAUUGUACCGUAACUUCGGGAGAAGGUACGCCCCUGAGUGUGAUGAGACUUGCUCUUUGAGCAUUCGGGGGUCGCAGUGAAUAGGUGGCUGGAACUGUUUAUUAAAAACACAGCACUGUGCAAAAUCGAAAGAUGACGUAUACGGUGUGACGCCUGCCCGGUGCCGGAAGGUUAAUUGAUGGGGUUAGCUUCGGCGAAGCUCUUGAUCGAAGCCCCGGUAAACGGCGGCCGUAACUAUAACGGUCCUAAGGUAGCGAAAUUCCUUGUCGGGUAAGUUCCGACCUGCACGAAUGGCGUAAUCAUGGCCACGCUGUCUCCACCCGAGACUCAGUGAAAUUGAAAUCGCAGUGAAGAUGCUGUGUACCCGCACCUAGACGGAAAGACCCCGUGAACCUUUACUACAGCUUGGCACUGAACAUUGAACCUACUUGUGUAGGAUAGGUGGGAGGCUUUGAAUCCAGGACGCCAGUUCUGGUGGAGCCG